UAAAAGUAGUUAUUAAGUUUUUUUUCUUUAAAGCUUUUGAAACUUAAUAACACUUUAAGUUAACCUUGUUAAGAUCAUUAAUUUUACCUUUCAAAGAUCAAAGAAGAAUUAUUAAAAUCUUUUUCAUCUGAUAACUAAUAAACUAACUAAAUCAUUGAUGCAUAAUUAACUGCAUCAAUGAUUUUUUUUAUUAUUUUUACUGCAAAAAAAUGCAGAUUUAUCUGUUCAAACCAAUGAUUUAAAAAGGCUUUUUUUUAUUAUUAAUCAUUGGUUAUUUUUUACUUGUGAUUUUAGCUUUAAUGCUUAUAAAAAAAUCCAAUGAUAAAAGUUUUUUUAGAAAAGUGUUGUGCAAACUGAUUUGUUGUGCUAUAAUCUUUAAGGCUUAUAUA
RNAcentral lists this unclassified non-coding RNA (389 nucleotides) under Mycoplasmoides gallisepticum. RNAcentral's name for it is "Mycoplasma gallisepticum 16S-23S ribosomal RNA intergenic spacer". Lineage: Bacteria; Bacillati; Mycoplasmatota; Mycoplasmoidales; Mycoplasmoidaceae. The record is from RNAcentral.